CAAGGAUUUCCCCAGUAACGGCGAGUGAACGGGAACAAGCCCAGCGCUGAAUCUCCUAGUUUUGCACUAGCGGGACAUGUAGCGUAAAGGUGGAAGUGUUCGUGCAUUUUGCGCACCCAAAGUCCCCUUGAGUGGGGCUACAGUCCACAGAAGGUGCUAGACCUGUACGGGUGACGGAGUGCCUGAUUGCUUGCUCCCUGGAGUCGGGUUGCCUGGGAUCGCAGCCCAAAGAGGGUGGUAAACCUCAUCUAAGGCUAAAUAUGACCGCGAAACCGAUAGCAAACAAGUACCGUGAGGGAAAGUUGCAAAGAACUUUGAAGAGAGAGUUCAAGAGGGCGUGAAACCGCUGAGAUGGAAACGGAUAGAGUUGACGAAACUCGGCGGCAUUCAACUGGUCAGCUGGGCGGUGACACGGUUUUGCGCCUCGAUGAGGGCAAUAACGUGUACACGUGUCUGGCGUCGGCUAGGGUAUUUGCCGUCGGUAUGCAUCGAGAGCCUCGGGCUCGCGUGUUGACGCGUGUGUAGUGGACCACUCCUUCCGGGUGUGGAACCCUUCGGUCGCAAAGACACGUCGGGUGUGAGGCGUGUGCGCGAUGUUGGCUGUUAGCGCAACGGUUGCUGCGCGUAAGGUGCCGGUGUUGGAUGGUGGCGUGCCACUUGUCUACGCUUGGUGCUGGCGCGCGGUGAUCCUUAUUGCGUUGGGCAUCGUUUCUCGGUGUGAACGUUGACCACCUGUCCGA
RNAcentral lists this ribosomal RNA (740 nucleotides) under Aplectana xishuangbannaensis. RNAcentral's name for it is "partial large subunit ribosomal RNA". It matches the Rfam family "Eukaryotic large subunit ribosomal RNA", at positions 69 to 647 of the family's 3401-position model. Lineage: Eukaryota; Metazoa; Nematoda; Chromadorea; Rhabditida; Cosmocercidae. The record is from RNAcentral.